RNAcentral lists this unclassified non-coding RNA (388 nucleotides) under Hevea brasiliensis (rubber tree). Lineage: Eukaryota; Viridiplantae; Streptophyta; Magnoliopsida; Malpighiales; Euphorbiaceae. The record is from RNAcentral.
GACACCAGUAGAUUAAAUGAAUCUUCAUGUAAAUAUGAUAAUCCACUUCUAUUUUGGCUCACAAAGGCAAGUAACAAUUGAGAUCCAGCUCUCUGAGCUCUUGCAUCAUGUUGCUCACAUGCAUCCUUCAGAAAUCUAAAGAGAGGAUCAACAAAAUUCUCAGAAGACAUAGAAUAACAUGAUUGAUUAUUAUAUUGCAAAUAGCUAUUGAUAUCUUCAACCAUUUUGCAUUGGGAGUCCCAAUUAAGCUCAGAAAGUCUAGUUAAAAACUCUGAGUCUGUCUCAAUUAUGGAUGCAUGAGACUGGAAUUGAAGGCAAUCCUCAGUUUUCCGAGUCAACAUCAAACUAGAUCCAUCUGCAAACCUAGUGCGUGAAGAGUCUGAACUGU